RNAcentral lists this ribosomal RNA (460 nucleotides) under uncultured bacterium. Its description in RNAcentral is "partial 16S ribosomal RNA". It matches the Rfam family "Bacterial small subunit ribosomal RNA", at positions 338 to 795 of the family's 1533-position model. The record is from RNAcentral.
CCUACGGGAGGCUGCAGUGAGGAAUAUUGGUCACUGGACGCAAGUCUGAACCAGCCAUGCCGCGUGCAGGAUGACGGCUCUAUGAGUUGUAAACUGCUUUUGUACGAGGGUAAUAUCAGAUACGUGUAUCUGCUUGAACGUAUCGUACGAGUAAGGAUCGGCUAUCUCCGUGCCAGCAGCCGCGGUAAUACGGAGGAUCCAAGCGUGAUCCGGAUUUAUUGGGUUUAAGGGGGGCGUAGGCGGUUUUAUAAGGUAGAGGUGAAAAUGCGGGGCUCAACUUCGGACGUGCCUCUGAUACUGGAGGACUAGAGAAUAGAUGAGGUAGGCGGAAUGUAUGGUGUAGCGGUGAAAUGCGUAGAGAUCAUACAGAACACCGAUUGCGAAGGCAGCUUACCAAACUAUAACUGACGUUGAGGCACGAAAGCGUGGGGAGCAAACAGGAUUAGAUACCCUAGUAGUC